RNAcentral lists this long non-coding RNA (1593 nucleotides) under Sarcophilus harrisii (Tasmanian devil). RNAcentral describes it as "lncRNA (ENSSHAG00000026840.1)". The record is from RNAcentral. Lineage: Eukaryota; Metazoa; Chordata; Mammalia; Dasyuromorphia; Dasyuridae.
UGGAAUCUGGCCAUUAUUCUCUAAACUUUUUUUUGGAGAGGCAGAGGGACGUGGGGAUCCAGGAUUCAAAUCCCGCCUCAAACGCUCCUAGCCGUGAUACUUUCCUCUCGUUGGGUCUCAGUUUCCUGUUCUGUAAAACGAGGAGUUGAGCUUCACGGGGUCCCUCCCAGCGCUGGCUCUAGGAUCCCCUAGGAUGGAAGCACGGAAGGUCUGCCUUCCCCGCCAGCCAGCCCGGCUAUCCCAUCCUUCUCCCCGCACCUCCACGCCUGCCCCCCCCAGCCCUCCUGUCCCAAGGGUAAAUUAUCUCGUGGGGCAUGGGGCGGAACGAGGAAAGGGAUUCACCCAUAACCUUGGAGACUGGGCAUCAGGAAAUAGGGCGGUUAGCGUUUUACCUCGAGCUGGCAGCCGCCACCGGGUUGCUGCGACCGGGACCACGGGCUGGGCGGGCCCUGCAGCGAUUCCACGAGCAGGAGAAAGGAGGGCAGGCGGGGUUUCCAGGCCCAGAUCCGGGGGACGGCCAGGACCAGGCUGGAUGGCGGGGCCAGGAAGAGUGCACGGAUGGAUGGACCGGCUGCUGAACCGAGGGAGGGAGGAGAAUGGGUCCAAACCAAGACUUGUUUUGCCAGAAGACACUGACUUCAACGGAACUAUUCGUCUCAGAGAAUCCAGAUGAAGGUGACCUGGUCCCCAGAAUGUUUCCUCUGCAUACUUGAGAGCAGUCCUGAACCAAAGUUUCCUUUGAAUGAAGACCAUGGCCAUCACAUCAGUCCAGACCAAUGGGCCCUCCAGCCUCUCUUAAAAGAAAGGCAUUGAGGACUCCAGACCUUCUCCAAACAGCUUUCUUUGCUGGGAAGCUUAUCUUGACAUCAGAUCUCAAGCUACCAUUUUGCACCUGCUUCGUCCACAUCACAGCCCUUCAGGUACGUGCAGACAACUCUUGUAUCCAUCCUAAAGCCUCUUCUCCUGGACAAGCAUCCCCUCUUAUCGUCCUAUUCUCUCUCCUUCCCUGUCUUGGCCAACCUCCUCCGGAUCCUAUCUAGUUGGUCAAUGUCCUCCCUUAAAUGUGGUACCCAGCAGGCAAGGCUACUUGCUCAUGGAGUCUAAGCAGGGCAGAAUGCAGAAGAACCAUGCUGUCCCUCCUCUGGAGCAGGAGGGCAGAAGAGAGGGGCAAGGAAGGAAUCUGGAGCCCCAGAAUCUCCCUCUGCUGCCUUUGUCUCUCCGGGAGACUGCCAGCAAAUCUCCUAAACCCAUCAUGCUUCUUACACAGCCUUAAAAUGAUGGAUGGGAUAGGACUUGAGGCCCUCUAGGUCUUCCAGGAUCCAGGUUUCUUUCCUUGGCUGUUGUGUACUCCCAUAGGAUGGAAGGCUCUCCACCAUUGAAACCCUCUUCAGAGAGGUGCUAGUGCAAAGGAGAUGGUGCUGAAUUUGGCAUUGAGAGAACCUGUGCUUAAACCCCACUUCUAACACUCACCAGUGUCUUAACUUUGGAUAAGCCAUUUUAAUCCUUCUGUGCCUCGGUUUCCCCUUCUUUAAAUUGAAGGGGCUGGUUUAACUGGCCUGCCAGGUCUCUUGCAGCUCUCUACUUAUAUGACCG